UGUGGGAGGGGGCUUGCCCCCGAUAGCGGUGUGUCAGCAAUGGAUUUGUUGACUGACACACUGCUAUCGGGGGCAAGCCCCCUCCCACA
This 89-nucleotide unclassified non-coding RNA is filed under the name Pseudomonas synxantha. The record is from RNAcentral. Lineage: Bacteria; Pseudomonadati; Pseudomonadota; Gammaproteobacteria; Pseudomonadales; Pseudomonadaceae.